Molecule: long non-coding RNA, 1215 nt
Organism: Ailuropoda melanoleuca (giant panda)
Lineage: Eukaryota; Metazoa; Chordata; Mammalia; Carnivora; Ursidae
Exons: 4
Source: RefSeq, a predicted model, not a curated record
CGCGGAGCCCGGGGCGGGGAGCCCGGGGCGGGGAGCCGAGCGCGCGGCGAGGAGCCGUGCCCCUGCGCCCGCCGCCCCAGUCCAUCCAGCCAGCCGCCGAUAAAACCCGCCCUCCAGUCCUCACUCCCGGCAGUGCUUAUUUGACGAGAAAGGUCUCCCAGUGCUGCCGGUAGCAUGCAGCAUCCAGAGGCCCCUCUUGAGACUUCUGCAGCGUUAAGUGUUGAGAUCAGCUCAUUAAAGGAAGUGGCCACCUAGCCAUGGUCUUGAUUGUGCGGGACAAGUGGGCUUCUGCUUCACCCAAGGAAAUCCAGAUGGGUAUAUGAAGGUGCCAGCUGGCUCUAUAAUGAUGUUCUUCCGGAAACCCAAUGUUAGAGUGGAUCAGCAAAAAAAGACACUUCAGAACAUCACUCAGGCUACAAUCAAGAGAGAUAAAAAACUUGGAUGGACCUGCCUCCUGGGAGAUUCCAGUCCAAUCUGAGAUAUGUUCCCCUGGAGUCUUCUAUGAACUAAAGGCUGUCUGUCCAAGGAUUGUUUUCUUUUGGCUACAACAAAUCCAUCAUUCCUGAGCUGCUCCACCUUAAAAAUGAAGGAAUUUUUUUUUCAUCCCUGUAUUUGCCUGGCAGAAUCCUCACUCGAAAACAAACAAGCUGUUAAUCGGUGAAUAAAAGGAGAGAGAAAAAUCUUCAGAAAUUAUGUUUAGCCCCAUCUGGCCUUAGAAAAACAUGGGAAAUGGUGAUCAAGUACAUUCAGCAGGAUGGCUGCCUUUCAAGGGAAACAAUAUCUGGAUAUUUCUAUGUCUAGACCACAGAGGAAAAAUGCUUCCUUGGUAAUUAACCCAUUGAAAGCAGAACAGCCCACGUGGCUUUGAGAAACACGGGGAAGAGCUGGAAGGAUGCAUUCACUGAAAAUUCAGUCCACAGAUGUAAAAGUUUGUUCCCCAGUCUGUAUUUCAGCAUUUUAGAUCCAGAGUUUAUAUAAAGAACGAAUAGGGAAAGGUAAGUAGUUAUUAUUUUUUUCCUUAACCAGCCAAUGGUAUUUUUCACUUUACUAUUCACAUUUUGCUCCCUAUUUGCAUACCACUGCUAAGGAUCUUGUGACAAACCUUCAUUUUCUUGGCGCAUAAAGCAGGGAUCCUGCAGCGGAGGCCUUAAGGACAUUUCAUUAAGAAUUGAAAGAUAAGAAGGUUACUUAGAUAAGUGGUUUGUCUGGGUCCUG